Molecule: ribosomal RNA, 279 nt
Filed under: uncultured bacterium
Lineage: Bacteria
Description: partial 16S ribosomal RNA
Rfam family: Bacterial small subunit ribosomal RNA
Source: RNAcentral
UGCCAGCCGCCGCGGUAAUACGGAGGGUGCAAGCGUUAUCCGGAAUCACUGGGUUUAAAGGGUGCGUAGGCGGCCAAAUAAGUCAGAGGUGAAAGCUCGCAGCUCAACUGCGGAAUUGCCUUUGAUACUGUUUGGCUUGAAUCAGGAUGAGGUCAGCGGAAUGUGGCAUGUAGCGGUGAAAUGCAUAGAUAUGCCAUAGAACACCAAUUGCGAAGGCAGCUGACUAGACCUGUAUUGACGCUGAGGCACGAAAGCGUGGGGAGCGAACAGGAUUAGAUA